This 162-nucleotide ribosomal RNA is filed under the name uncultured bacterium. RNAcentral describes it as "partial 16S ribosomal RNA". It matches the Rfam family "Bacterial small subunit ribosomal RNA", at positions 314 to 504 of the family's 1533-position model. The record is from RNAcentral.
CCGCGGUAAAACGCGUUACUCCUACGGGAGGCAGCAGUAAGGAAUAUUGGUCAAUGGACGCAAGUCUGAACCAGCCAUGCCGCGUGGAGGAUGAAGGUCUCUGGAUUGUAAACUUCUUUUAUUUGGGAAGCGGUACCAGAUGAAUAAGCACCGGCUAACUCC